Molecule: transfer RNA, 63 nt
Filed under: Teliapsocus conterminus
Lineage: Eukaryota; Metazoa; Arthropoda; Insecta; Psocodea; Amphipsocidae
Description: tRNA-Asp
Source: RNAcentral
GAAGAUUUAGUUAAUUUAUAACAUUAGAAUGUCAAACUUAAGUAACUUAAAAAGUAUUCUUCU